AUGGGGGCGGGAGGAUCCUGGCGCUGGGCCGUGGGCGCGGUCUGCGGCGGGCUGGUUUACUACCACUGCGCGGUGCGGCGGGCGAGCGCGGUGUCCCUCGCCGCCGACGUGCUCCUCGUCCUCCUCUGCUCCCUCUCCAUCCUCGGCCUCCUCUUCCGCCACCUACACAUCUCGUCUGCAACUUUACAUCGGACACAGAAGGAAAAUGAUGGCCAGCGUACACCCCUGCACUUGCUGCAAUUAAUCUUGUGUUGGCUGAAAGGCAAGCCUUUUCAGCUUCCUCCACCAUUCAGGGUGCCUGUGGAUCCACUUGAGUGGCAGAUUUCUCAAGAGAUGGCAAAUAGUAUAGUUGCGUCCUUGGCUAACACAAUUGGAGCUGCGGAGUCUGUAUUGAGGGUGGCUGCAACUGGACAUGACAAGAAACUCUUGUUCAAGGUGGUUUUUACUCUGUAUUUCCUAGCAGCUUUGGGAAGGGUUGUCUCAGGCGCUGCGAUUGCUUAUGCUGCUCUAUGCAUCUUCUCCCUCUACAUGUUUGCGCAAAGCACCGACCAGUUUGAUCAGCUCCCUUGGGUUCCUUUAGGAAGAGACUCGCUGGGCGGCGCCCAGGAUACCACAUGA
Molecule: ribosomal RNA, 618 nt
Filed under: Triticum aestivum (bread wheat)
Lineage: Eukaryota; Viridiplantae; Streptophyta; Magnoliopsida; Poales; Poaceae
Description: partial small subunit ribosomal RNA
Source: RNAcentral